Molecule: microRNA precursor, 100 nt
Filed under: Picea abies (Norway spruce)
Lineage: Eukaryota; Viridiplantae; Streptophyta; Pinopsida; Pinales; Pinaceae
Description: miR396p stem-loop (pab-MIR396p)
Gene: pab-MIR396p
Source: miRBase by way of RNAcentral
GAAUGCUGCCAUACUUUUCCACGGCUUUCUUGAACUUCCCGACCGCUAACAGAUCCGGAUAAGAAGCUCAAGCAAGGCGUGGGAAAAUAUAGAGGGAUUC